GGGGUGCUCGAGUGGCAAACGGGUGAGUAACACGUGAGUAACCUGCCCUUGACUUUGGGAUAACUUCAGGAAACUGGGGCUAAUACCGGAUAGGAGCUCCUGCUGCAUGGUGGGGGUUGGAAAGUUUCGGCGGUUGGGGAUGGACUCGCGGCUUAUCAGCUUGUUGGUGGGGUAGUGGCUUACCAAGGCUUUGACGGGUAGCCGGCCUGAGAGGGUGACCGGCCACAUUGGGACUGAGAUACGGCCCAG
This 249-nucleotide ribosomal RNA is filed under the name uncultured Actinomycetales bacterium. Its description in RNAcentral is "partial 16S ribosomal RNA". It matches the Rfam family "Bacterial small subunit ribosomal RNA", at positions 84 to 334 of the family's 1533-position model. Lineage: Bacteria; Bacillati; Actinomycetota; Actinomycetes; Actinomycetales. The record is from RNAcentral.